Molecule: ribosomal RNA, 301 nt
Filed under: uncultured bacterium
Lineage: Bacteria
Description: partial 16S ribosomal RNA
Rfam family: Bacterial small subunit ribosomal RNA
Source: RNAcentral
CAGCCGCCGCGGUAAUACGUAGGUGGCAAGCGUUGUCCGGAAUUAUUGGGCGUGAAGGGCUCGCAGGCGGUUUCUUAAGUCUGAUGUGAAAGCCCCCGGCUCAACCGGGGAGGGUCAUUGGAAACUGGGAAACUUGAGUGCAGAAGAGGAGAGUGGAAUUCCACGUGUAGCGGUGAAAUGCGUAGAGAUGUGGAGGAACACCAGUGGCGAAGGCGACUCUCUGGUCUGUAACUGACGCUGAGGAGCGAAAGCGUGGGGAGCGAACAGGAUUAGAUACCCCUGUAGUCCCUGUCUCUUAUAC